Long non-coding RNA from Nymphaea colorata (pocket water lily), 1868 nucleotides. RefSeq lists it as uncharacterized. The transcript is spliced from 3 exons. The record is from RefSeq and is a predicted model, not a curated record. NCBI's taxonomy places the organism in Eukaryota, Viridiplantae, Streptophyta, Magnoliopsida, Nymphaeales, Nymphaeaceae.
GGCCCGCAACUGCCUCCGUCCUGCCUGCUGGUCGUCGUCUCUCUUGCCCUCUCACUCUCCUGCUCCCUCCCUCGUCUCUCUCGCCCUCUGAGUCUCCUUCUCCCCUCGUCGUCUCUCUCGCCCUCUGAGUCUCCUUCACCCCUCGUUGUCUCUCUAGCCCUCUCACUCUCCUGCUCCCCUCCUUGUCUCUCUCGCCCUCUCACUCUCCUACUCCCAUCCUCGUCGAAGACAGAUAAAGAAACUGUGGCUGUCUGUCCUGCAAGACUGCAAUGAACAUGUGUAUGUGUGUGUUUUAAUGUUAAUUUCUACGUUUAUGUAUGUGUGUCUUUUAGUGCAAGACUGCAAUGAUGAUUCCUACGUUUUGUUUUAUUGCAAGUUGAUCAGCAAAUCCCCUUCAUAGAAUGUUGCCACAAGGGAGUUCAGUUUGAUUCAAGAGAACGAAUACAGAGUAGUUGUGGUCUAGACAAAUUCCUUCUUCAUGAGUAUAUGCAAGCCACUUGCAAACAAAACUCAUCUGAGAAGGCUGAAGUUAGAAAACGAAAUCUCGUACUGCUUGGGAGUUUAGGGUCCACGAGAAUUUGAUGCUUCUCUUUCUGGCCUUCGAUGUGUUGUUCUUUAAAUUUCCCCCACUGGGAUCUAUAUUUCAGUCUUCAAACCAAAAGCAAAUAAACAACUGUGGGCUGCACCACCAUGUUCAUUCUUCUACUAUAGGGGUAUUCAGUUCUAGUAAAAACUUUAACAAAUGGUGAGUCUGAGCAUUCAUAUUAAUGAGGAGAAAUAAACAAGCUAGCUUUGUUAUGCUCUUUAGCCUUGAAGUCCACCUCGAUCUUUAAGCUUGAUUCUGCAUAAUUUCCCGUCAACCAGUUGAGGCCUUGUGAAAUAUCAUAUUUUCUGUUAAGGGAGUAGCAAAAGUGGCAGAAAACAGUUGUAGUGCUUGUCGAUCAUCUGCAUUGGCAGGUUGAACACAUUGGCUUCUGGACUGAAUUCUGGCCGAUUGUUCAUUUCAAGUUGUAUUCAGGAUCGCCAAGUUGGAUAUUGUUUACAAUUGCUGCUUCAUGCAUUUAUUUGUCCUUGUAUGUGAAUUGCAACAAUAGACUUUCCACUGUCAAAGUGAUAGUUGCUUUAUACAUUUGAAACGUACUUAGAUUUUUUUAUUUUGCUUCUUACCACCAUGUUCGUCCCCAUAUAUUCUUUUUUUCUUUUCUUCUGUUAUUUCUUUCUUGCUUUUGCAAUAACUUGAGCCUAUUAAAUCCAUUCAUCUGUUAAACUUUAAGCACCAUGUUUGGGGCUUUUCAUUGUUGCAGCUAAAUUUUGUAUACUUGUUUUCCUCCAAGUGCCUAGACUUGCUGUUAUCAUUGUUGGGACCAGGAAGGACUCACAGAGCUAUGUGAGCAUGAAGAAGAAAGCAUGUGCUGAAGAAAGCAUGUGCUGAAGAAAGCAUUGCUGCAGCUAAAUUUUGUAUGCUUAUUAAAAGGACGGUUCCCUAUACUAAAAACACAAGUGUCAUUUCCUUACCGUACACAAGUUGCAAUUGUGUUAGCCAUGUGUGUUCUACACAAUUUCAUUAUAGACCAUAAUCCUCAUGCAGAACAGUUUGAUGUUGAUGAAAGUGCAUUUGACGAUGCAAAUAAGAGUACAUCGGUUCUAAACGAAGUGGAAAGUGUGACACAAAGUAUUGAUCGAGGAUCGAAUAAUGAUCUGCACACUUCAAUAACAUCUCAAAUGUACGUGGAUUUUCAAAAUCGUAGGCAAUCGAAGAUGAAGCCCCGGCAUAUUUGAUUUUGUUGAGCUUUUUUUUGUUAUGGUGGAUGCGUACAUGACACUACAUAUGUACUUGCUUCUAUGGAUACUCUACACAUGCACUUGGC